This 66-nucleotide transfer RNA is filed under the name Cerion watlingense. RNAcentral's name for it is "tRNA-Thr". It matches the Rfam family "tRNA". Rfam says of the family: Transfer RNA (tRNA) molecules are approximately 80 nucleotides in length. Their secondary structure includes four short double-helical elements and three loops (D, anti-codon, and T loops). Further hydrogen bonds mediate the characteristic L-shaped molecular structure. tRNAs have two regions of fundamental functional importance: the anti-codon, which is responsible for specific mRNA codon recognition, and the 3' end, to which the tRNAs corresponding amino acid is attached (by aminoacyl-tRNA synthetases). tRNAs cope with the degeneracy of the genetic code in two manners: having more than one tRNA (with a specific anti-codon) for a particular amino acid; and 'wobble' base-pairing, i.e. permitting non-standard base-pairing at the 3rd anti-codon position. Lineage: Eukaryota; Metazoa; Mollusca; Gastropoda; Stylommatophora; Cerionidae. RNAcentral also lists the same sequence under 1 other name. The record is from RNAcentral.
CUAGAUAGUAGCUUAAGUUAAAGCACUGAAUUUGUAAUUCAUAGAAGGUAGCACUACCCAUCUAGG